Pongo pygmaeus (Bornean orangutan) is the source of this 1234-nucleotide long non-coding RNA. RefSeq lists it as uncharacterized. Lineage: Eukaryota; Metazoa; Chordata; Mammalia; Primates; Hominidae. The transcript has 3 exons. The record is from RefSeq and is a predicted model, not a curated record.
GUACAUAAGUAUAUUCUGACAUGUUAUUUUGAGCUCCACAGAAACAAAACAAGAUUUGCCACCUGGUGACAGACCAUCCUGUUGUUCCCAAGGAGAAAGGUAAAGAAGGAGAGGAUUGGAGAGGAGAAGGAAACUGGACAAGCCCACACAGCUGGCAUAUGGUGGAGCAGGGACACGUCUGUCUUACUCAACAUUAUUUUGCCUCUCUGCUACCUUGCCAGGAGCUAUCUGCUGGAGAUCCCUGUAUUUCUCUGCUUUGAGAGCCUUCCUGUCUCCAGAAAAUAUCCUUCUGUGGCUCCAAAGGUCUCAGUCUCAGGGUGAUGUCCUGGCUACUUUUCUUUUGGACCAUAAAUGAAAUGACAGUGAAGACAUCAACCUCACCAUGUUGGAAAACUGCCUAAGAUGUUUCUUGGAACUGUGGCCAGUCCCAGGAACAGAAAGGCAUGAUGUUCACAGCCAAAACUUCCUCAUAGGGGCCUGCUGUACAUCCUCAUGCCUGAGAAUUGCUCUGAGGAAGGACUCAUUUACCACAUUUGCACUGCAGAAGUCAACACCCAGUGAUCAAAGGACAUCCUGGAAAAGUCAGUAUAGAUCCUGAACCAAAAACCUCAGAAGUGAUUCCAGGCUGCUGCCCAAGACCUGACAUGCAUACAUUUGUUCAUCACUCAACAAAUAUUUAUUGAGUGCUAUCUCUGUUGUAAACACUGUGCUGGAUGUGAAUGUCCAGCUGCAGAAGAAACAGACCCAAGCCUCCGGGAGCUGACUGUUCCCAGGAGGGGGCCCUUGGCUCUUUGCAGUGAGUUGUCAUCCUGGGCACUGAAGGGCAGUGGUGUGAGCCUGCUGAGCCAGAGAGACGAUGAGCUGCUCCCACAAUACCCAAUAAUCAGGCCCCAGGGUGCCUCCCCUGCUGCACCUAAAACACUUCAGAUGAACUGCAACUUUUCAAAUCUGCUCUUCAUGUGUCAAAGAAAUUUUGGAAUUUUUUUCCUACAGUAAAAGAUGAAAAACAGGAGCCCGACAAGCAGAACCUAUACCUAAUGUUAAGGGGAAGACCGCCUAGGGUCCACACUUGAGAAAUUAUUUUUAAGAAUGUUUAAUCUUGUUAGGAUGGAUUUCUGUGACUGCUGCCAGGGUCUCUGAACCCUCAGCAAAUAAAUGCAGAUGACAUUUAUUUGCUCAAGAUAAUGCUACCAUAAUAAAUGUAAAAGGGUCACUAUCUUUCCCCCAAACUUCC